GAGGGUAUAGCUCAGUGGUAGAGUGCAUGCCUAGCAUGCAUGAGGUCCUGAGUUCAAUUCCCAGUACCUCCA
This 72-nucleotide transfer RNA is filed under the name Camelus bactrianus (Bactrian camel). It matches the Rfam family "tRNA". Rfam says of the family: Transfer RNA (tRNA) molecules are approximately 80 nucleotides in length. Their secondary structure includes four short double-helical elements and three loops (D, anti-codon, and T loops). Further hydrogen bonds mediate the characteristic L-shaped molecular structure. tRNAs have two regions of fundamental functional importance: the anti-codon, which is responsible for specific mRNA codon recognition, and the 3' end, to which the tRNAs corresponding amino acid is attached (by aminoacyl-tRNA synthetases). tRNAs cope with the degeneracy of the genetic code in two manners: having more than one tRNA (with a specific anti-codon) for a particular amino acid; and 'wobble' base-pairing, i.e. permitting non-standard base-pairing at the 3rd anti-codon position. The record is from Rfam by way of RNAcentral. Lineage: Eukaryota; Metazoa; Chordata; Mammalia; Artiodactyla; Camelidae. RNAcentral also lists the same sequence under 2 other names.